Cornus florida is the source of this 1598-nucleotide long non-coding RNA. RefSeq lists it as uncharacterized. Lineage: Eukaryota; Viridiplantae; Streptophyta; Magnoliopsida; Cornales; Cornaceae. The transcript is spliced from 12 exons. The record is from RefSeq and is a predicted model, not a curated record.
UUUCACAUUUGCAUGAGCUUGACCUUCGGUAUCAUCUUAGACGUGUAUAUUGCUUGCGUGUUUAAUCUGCUAAUGACGACAUUGAGGAGACAUUGAUUCUUGAAGCCUGAAGAAGGGGAAGAGUGGAAGACAAAGGGCAGGCAAGAGUACCUAACCAAAAACAUAAACAAAACAAAAAAAGAAAGAAGCAUUAUAAAAUAAACAUUGUAACUCCGCAAUAAUUCAUGAACAGUACUGCUACUGCUAGACCCUUCAUUAGAUGCACAUUCUCCUCAUGUUGAAGAUUCUUUAAUCCCACAUUCUCCUGGAUUUUCUCAGGAAAAUAGCCACAGCCUAAAGAACUGUGUAAAAUGCAGACUCAGUUUUCACUUCAAUCUUCAGGAGCCAUAUUGUUGAGAAACAGGUGCUUUAAAUCGAAUUAGAUGGUGGUAGCCGUGCAAUAAAUUUUAUUCUUUCAUCCAUGUGUGUUAGGGAUGGCAAUUUACUCCGCGGGGGCAGGUACCCGCCCUGUUUAAACUGGUUUGGGGGGCCGUUUAUGGAAUUUGGGCGGGGAUGGGUUUGAGGGGAGAAAACCAGCGCUGGUUCGGGGAAGUGGCAGGAGAAGGGGCCCCGCACCACCAAGUUUAGAUAUCCACGGUAUCAGCGAUACUGGCAUACAAAUUUGGAGCAUCAUUUGCAUGGAUCACUUCUCAUUCAGUUGCUGCAAAUGUUAUAUUCACAUUGAGUGUAACCCAGGGUAUGAAGAUGCUGCUUUAAAAAUGCAAUGUAGCCUGGCCUUUUUAAACUUUGGCCAAAGUGUGAUAUUUAGCACAGCUCUUUCAGCUGCUAUUGUUUUGUGUUCACAUGGAAUUAUGAAUGGCGAGAUGAUAGUUGGUGAUUUGGUUAUGGGCUCCUGCUCCAGCGAUCUCUUCCACUCAACUUUCUUGGCAGUGUAUAUCGUGAGACUAUACAGAGGUUUCAGUUACUCUAGGAGAGGCCUGAAAUCAGGGAUGAUGCAGAUGCAAAGCCUCUGCAAUUAACUGGGGUUACCUGCCAGAAGAAAAAUUCUUGAUGGGAUAUAUUUUGCAGUGCCACCUGGAAAAAAGUGUGGCUAUAGUUGGUUCUCUAUUAUAUGAGACAGGUUCAGUUACACUCAAUGGAAUCUGCAGCUUUGGCUAGCAACCCAGCGAGCACGAAAGGGUCAGAGGAAUGUGGACUAUGAUCAGUGUCCACGAUAUAGGUCUCAGCCGGUGGCCAUUUUCUAAUCAUUGCAGCUUGCUGUUCCGGUAUGAGAACAUGAUCAUACCUCGUCCUGAUGUAUACACGACGCACAUCAUCCGCACCAUUUCCGUCGAAUUUAGCGUCCAUUAGUGCCUCCAAUGAUACUCCAGGCCGAUGAAGUAUUAAACCUAGCACCUCCUCCUGUUAGAAAAAUCAAUCCAUGUUAUUCAUGUUAACCACCAACUGUUCUAAUUUUUUGUUUUUUUAAAUCACCACAAAUAAUGUAGUUGUUUAUAUCUUUUAAUACGAUUCAUCAAAUUAUUUAUUAUGAGUGAAACAAUGUGGUAUAUGAAAUUAUUAAUUAUUAUAAUUAUUAAAGUGACGGUAAUAUUUGAAUU